UCAUGAGCUGAACUCAAAGAUCUAAGACUUUUUCUAUGUACACAAAAGGCCUAUUUCUCUCAAAUAUUGUUCACAAAUCUGUCUAAAUCUGUGUUAGUGAGCACUUCUCCUUUGCCGAGAUAAUCCAUCCACCUCACAUGUGUGGCAUAUCAAGAUGCUGAUUAGACAGCAUGAUUAUUCCACAGGUGUGCCUUAGGCUGUCCACAAUAAAAGGCCACUCUAAAAUGUGCAGUUUUAUCCCACAGCACAAUGCCUCAGAUGUCGCAAGUUUUGAGGGAGUGUGCAAUUGAUAUGCUGACUGCAGGAAUGGCCACCAGAGCUGUUGCCUGUCAAUUGAAUGUUCAUUUCUCUACCAUGAGCCGUCUCCGAAGGCGUUUCAGAGAAUUUGGCAGUAUAUCCAAUUGGUCUUACAACCGCAGACCACAUGUAAUGACACCAGCCCAGGACCUCCACAUCCAGCAUCUUUACCGCCAAGAUCGUCUGAGACCAGCCAUCUGGACAGCUGCUGCAACAAUCGGUUUGCAUAACCAAAGAAUUUCUGCACAAACUGUCAGAAACCGUCUCAGGGAAGCUCAUCUGCAUGCCCGUCGUCCUCAUCAAAUUUUUCAAAUUUGUGGUUUUCCAGAUGUCUCUCUACUAUCACGUUGCCAUUAAUGUGGAACCCACAACCACUUUUAAUCAUUCAAUGUGUUUUCUGUUGAAUUUUUUGUUUUCCAGAUGUGUCUCUCUACUAUCAUAUUGCCAUAAAUGUGGAACCCACAACCUGUACAAAGACUCAAAAGCCAAACCUUUUAUGAACGGAUAAUCCUUCACCUCCAUGUAUGCCUAUCCACAACGAACAUGCAACAGGUAAUGUUUGAUCUAAAUUGAUAAAUGCAAAAACUGUGAGUAAAACAUUUUAUUGACUCAGUCUUAUGUACUGGGUAUUGCAGAGGGCACAACAUAACACAAAUGAGAUUCACUGAUUUGUGGUGUUCUGUUUCAAGAUCUGUGUCCACACGUUAUGCAUUUGUGCCUUUUCCUUUUAAAGCACACUCUACGGCCAUCAUAUGGUUUGGCUGUGCAGCAGAAUUUGUCCGUGCAAGACGCUGAGCAUUUUUUCAUCAAUGAUCUGGAUUACCAUCACAGGUGUCAGUGAAGCCUACACAUCAGUGCAAUGUGGCUGCUGAUGGGCAAAAUAUCACUUUAAAUGUUUUUGUGUGUGUGUGUGUUGUAUUUGAAUUACUUAUUCUUGCACUUUUUCAAAAAACAGACUGCUGAAGGAUCAUACAACUGGGAUUUACACAGCUAUGCACUGCAUGCAUCAGUUUAUGGACUUUC
Molecule: long non-coding RNA, 1320 nt
Organism: Triplophysa rosa
Lineage: Eukaryota; Metazoa; Chordata; Actinopteri; Cypriniformes; Nemacheilidae
Exons: 3
Source: RefSeq, a predicted model, not a curated record